Molecule: long non-coding RNA, 302 nt
Filed under: Pelobates cultripes (western spadefoot toad)
Lineage: Eukaryota; Metazoa; Chordata; Amphibia; Anura; Pelobatidae
Source: RNAcentral
CCAAACCAAUGUUCUAAGCCUCGUUCCAUAUUUAAUAAAUGUUCCUUACAUUGUGGAAAUUUACUUGAGAUUUUCCACUGUGAAACAUUAAAAUGCCAAACUAUUGUUGCAAAUUUCCCAUCUAAUAAUAAAGGCUUUGAUUGAAAAUGAUUCAAUUGAAAGGGACUUGAUAACUUAAAAACCUUAUUUUUGCAUUCUACCAUUCUGGGAGAGAAUACAUUUACCUUAACAUCACCACAUCUCUCAUGAUGAUUUCUUAGCAUUAAACAACAUUGAUAGUUUCCACUAUCACUGUAGGUAGG